GGACGGGUGAGUAACACGUGGAUAACCUACCUAUAAGACUGGGAUAACUUCGGGAAACCGGAGCUAAUACCGGAUAAUAUAUUGAACCGCAUGGUUCAAUAGUGAAAGACGGUUUUGCUGUCACUUAUAGAUGGAUCCGCGCCGCAUUAGCUAGUUGGUAAGGUAACGGCCUACCAAGGCAACGAUGCGUAGCCGACCUGAGAGGGUGAUCGGCCACACUGGAGCUGAGACACGGUCCAG
This 240-nucleotide ribosomal RNA is filed under the name uncultured Staphylococcus sp. Its description in RNAcentral is "partial 16S ribosomal RNA". It matches the Rfam family "Bacterial small subunit ribosomal RNA", at positions 100 to 334 of the family's 1533-position model. Lineage: Bacteria; Bacillati; Bacillota; Bacilli; Caryophanales; Staphylococcaceae. The record is from RNAcentral.